This 754-nucleotide long non-coding RNA is filed under the name Homo sapiens (human). RNAcentral describes it as "non-protein coding lnc-LPIN2-3:1". Lineage: Eukaryota; Metazoa; Chordata; Mammalia; Primates; Hominidae. The record is from RNAcentral.
GCCACCCGGAGCUAUGUGGUGCUCAGCUGGAAGCCCCCUGGCCAGCGUGGUCAUGAGGGCAUUAUGUACUUUGUGGAAAAGUGUGAGGCAGGAACAGAAAACUGGCAGCGAGUGAACACGGAGCUCCCUGUGAAGUCUCCCCGCUUUGCUCUGUUUGACUUGGCCGAGGGGAAAUCCUACUGUUUCCGUGUCCGCUGUUCUAAUUCUGCAGGAGUUGGUGAGCCCUCAGAGGCAACGGAGGUGACUGUGGUAGGGGACAAACUUGGUAAGCAACUGUAAACUUCUUUUACUUCAAGAGAAAAUUUCAAAGCAAGGAUCUAGUAUAUGUAUAUUUGGCCAGGAGUAAAAAUGGUGACAUCCUUCUUUCAUAUUAUAAAUUUACUCGAUGGCUGUACUUAACCUAUACAUUAAACAAAAAUUCAUUAUUUUUGUUUAUGAAAAGUAAACUUCUUUGGGAGUUUCAACAAUAUUGAUAAUGUGUUUUUUCUGAAGUUCAUGGACAUUUAGUUUAUCCAUGCUCCCUAACUGUUUUAAAAUUUUUUGCUUUAAAAAAUACAAUGUAGGCCAGGCGCGGUGGCUCAUGUCUGUAAUCUGAGCACUUUGGGAGGCCGAGGCAGGCAGAUCACCUGAGUCCAAGAGUUUGAGACCAGCCUGGCCAACAUGGUGAAACCCCAUCUCUACUGAAAACACAAAAAUUAGCCAGGCGUUGUGGCACAUGCCUGGUAAUUCCAGCUACUCAGGAGGCUGAGGUGGG